CGGCAGCGGCGGCGGCGGCGGCCGGGACAAGGCGGAGGCGACGGCGGCGGCGGCGGCGCGGGGCGCUCGGGCUGAUGGCGGCGGCGGCCGGGCCCGGGGCUGCGCUGUCCCCGCGGCCGUGUGACAGCGACCCAGCCACCCCCGGAGCGCAGUCCCCGAAGGAUGAUAAUGAAGAUAAUUCAAAUGAUGGGACCCAGCCAUCCAAAAGGAGGCGAAUGGGCUCAGGAGAUAGUUCUAGGAGUUGUGAAACUUCAAGUCAAGAUCUUGGCUUUAGUUACUAUCCAGCAGAAAACUUGAUAGAGUACAAAUGGCCACCUGAUGAAACAGGAGAAUACUAUAUGCUUCAAGAACAAGUCAGUGAAUAUUUGGGUGUGACCUCCUUUAAAAGGAAAUAUCCAGAUUUAGAGCGACGAGAUUUAUCUCACAAGGAGAAACUCUACCUGAGAGAGCUAAAUGUCAUUACUGAAACUCAGUGCACUCUAGGUUUAACAGCAUUGCGCAGUGAUGAAGUGAUUGAUUUAAUGAUAAAAGAAUAUCCAGCCAAACAUGCUGAGUAUUCUGUUAUUCUGCAAGAAAAAGAACGUCAGCGAAUUACAGACCAUUAUAAAGAGUAUUCCCAAAUGCAACAACAGAAUACUCAGAAAGUUGAAGCCAGUAAAGUGCCUGAGUAUAUUAAGAAAGCUGCCAAAAAAGCAGCUGAAUUUAAUAGCAACUUAAACCGGGAACGCAUGGAAGAAAGAAGAGCUUAUUUUGACUUGCAGACACAUGUACUCACCAGAUGAGCUGCGGUAUCUGCCAUUAAACACAGCCCUGUAUGAGCCCCCUCUGGAUCCUGAGCUCCCUGCUCUAGACAGUGACGGUGAUUCAGAUGAUGGUGAAGAUGGUCGAGGUGACGAGAAACGGAAAAAUAAAGGCACUUCGGACAGCUCCUCUGGCAAUGUAUCUGAAGGGGAAAGCCCUCCUGACAGCCAGGAGGACUCUUUCCAGGGAAGACAGAAAUCAAAAGACAAAGCUGCCACUCCAAGAAAAGAUGGUCCCAAACGUUCUGUACUGUCCAAGUCAGUUCCUGGGUACAAGGUAGAAGAAAAAAGCCCCUGACUCAGCUUCUUUACUGACCAGCCUCUCUCCCUGAAAUAUUUUAACUUGACUUUCACGAUUGUGGAGCUUCUGCCUGCUGUACUUCACUAGCUGUUCUUCUAUCGUGUGCCCUUUGUCCACUGCUUUCUUUUUUGCUUUAUUUCCUUGGUGGCUUUUCUGUCACUUUUGGCUAUGGUUUAGCUUCUGUUUUCUGUAUAUGUACAAUUUAUAAGUCUUUUUUUUUCUUUGAAAGAAUAACCAGGCAAGUAUGGGUUUUUAAAACAUUAUUUCAUAGGCAGAAGUUUAUAUUUUCUUUCCUUGGAGUAAAGAUCAUAAUUAUUUGGCAUUUUAAAUGCCCCAGCAUUUAGUGUAGCUAAAGCUGCUGAGCUAUAAAGUAUGAGUGGAUAUACUGUUAGACUAAGUUGCAUUUUUUUUAGUGCCUUUCAUUAAGAAAGAUCUGGGUUUAAUCUAAGGAUUAUUUGAUCCAUAUGCUAAAUUUAGCUAACUCUGGGAUAGAAAAUAAUAAAACCCGUUAUUUACAUUUUAGUGAUUUUUAGCAUAACCUUGGUAAAGCGCCUAUAUGAUUCUAUGACAGGAAUUAAAACAUACUUGUUAACUUGUUGAUCUGAUUAUCCUCAGAGUAAAGUAGUAGGUUGUCAGCAACUAUUAUUGUAUUUUGAACUUUUCCUCCCUCUGUCUGCCACUCCCUUUUCUUCUGAAGAAAAGGUGAGGUGAGAGGUGAGUAGCCUUAUUUGCAUAUAGGGAUUUAAGAAUAUCAUAAAAGGAAGAAUUAGCUGUACAGUUUCAUAUUUGGGAUGGUGGUAGUAAAAUAUACUGCCUUUUGAUUCUUUUGGUCUGAAAUGUAUUAGAACAUGCUUUUAUUGCACUUACAAAGGUGUAUUGAAGGAAAAUUUUAGAGUAAGCUGAUGAGAAAGUUUUGCCAAGUGAAGUUGUUAAACACCUUGUAUGUCAGAACUGUGAUUGUGGUAAAUAAUUCACAAGAACAGGCUGAAGUAAGUCACCUUUCCCUCAAACUAACUAGAACACGUUCUAACAUGUUCAUUUACCUUUCUUCAAGUAAAAAAAGCGACUUAUUAGUGUAUUUCAUAUUUUAUUAGAAAAUGCUUUUAUGUAAUUAACUUAAAAAUUCUUUUUUUUUUUGUAGCCUAUAGCAAGCAAAUUUUAAGCUUAAUUCAAUUCAGCAAGGGUUGGCUUCCAAGGGUGGCUGCAAUAGGCUGCAGCUAUGUGAUUUUUGUACUUGUUUUUACAUAUAUAGCUUAUCUAAUUUCUUUAUAUAAAUUAAUGCUUAAUAACUGAAAGCAAGUGAGCUCCAAAGAUGAAAUUUCAGAAACAGUAUACAUGAAUAAGUGUGUUCUACCAGUCUGCUAAGAGCUUUAAAUGGAAGUGGCCACUCAAAGCACAGUGUCCUGUUAACUCUUGAGUGCUAAGAUCUUUCCAACAGUAAGCUUGAUUGAUCAUGGGUUAAAAAGAGAGAAUAUUGAAAUAGAUGUUUUAAUACAGGCUGGAAAUCACCUAUUCAACACUAUCAUUGAUUUAGUAUACAAGAAAUCAUAUAGAUUAACUGAACUUAAUAGUACUCAAGUAGGAUAUGCAAAAUUUAUAUUUUACAUAAUCUGUGAACAUUUUUAGUACCUAAAAAUGUUUCAGGUAUUUCAAAGAUGGGAACAACCAGUAUCUAGUCAUCAUACAUUAAUGUGAACAUGCUUAUUAAAAGUUAACCUCUUUAUAAAAAGUAUUAAUAAACCAAGAUGUGCCUAAAUAUUAGGGUACUUCAAGCUAAAGGUCAUAGUUUGUUUAUAUAUAUAUCUAUAUAUAUAUUUAUAUAUAUAGAUAUAUAUAUUAAAAAAAUGAGAUUCAAGAAAGUAAUGCAUCUGAUGCUUUGCUUAAUAAGAUUCACUAGUGCUUGCCCUUAAUUCGUAGGACAGUAUUGUUUAGGUUACAUUAACCUGAAAUUUAAAGCAUAAUUAUUAGGAUUCCGGCCUAUAAAUAUAUAAUUAAAAUCUAUAUUAUUGCUACCAUGAAAGUCUUAUCUUUGGCUGUUUUUCAAGUAGAAAAGUAAGUGUACUGUGAGCCUUUUAUUUGAGAUGCUGAGAGCUAUUAGGAUGAGUAUUUCAGUUUUCUUGUCAAUAGUGGAACUCUGAUGAUGUUGCAGUUAUUUGAAGUAGAACUGAUUGUCUAAACCAGACACACAUAGGAGUGUGCUCCAUUGGCCUUGGGGAGAGUGCUGCACAUUAACCCCUCCCUCAACUGUGCAAUCCACUGAGACUGGCUUCUCUAAGCCACAGUUGUUAUCUGCUGUGUAAAGUCCUGGAUGCCAGCACUGUGGCUUCUUAGAGAGGGCAGAUGCUUUGUAUAUUGAGCUGCAGCAUUCAUCAUAGAAAACGCUACAAAGCUGUCUCUCUUCCCCUUCUCUCAUGUUUCCCUCUUUUCAUCAAGAUGAAGACUGUUGGGUAAGAAAAACUAAGUGAUUUAACAAAUCAUUAUGAUUUAAACUUAGAAAUAAACCUAGAAUUUUUUGGUGUCCCUUUUAUCAUAGAUGUUUAAUGUAUAUUUUAAUGAUUGUAGAACUUGAAUUGCUCUAGAAUGUGAAUGACUACCCUUGUGUUUUAUUCCUCUUGGCGUUUUGUAAAGAAUCUCCUAUGAGGAGUUCUGUUUUUAGAAUUUAAUAUUGUUUGGUUACUUCCCUGACUUUAGUGAAAGAUAUUAGAGUAUUUACUAUGCCAGUAUCUAACUUAAACUAUGAGUAUUAAAUAAGUAUAUCUUUUACAUUUAGUACAGGUACCAUAACCAAAAGAGAUUUCUUAGUUUUGAUGGAUUAAGAGAGAGAAUUCUGCUGUAUAUUAUGGCAGGUACAGAUAUGAUCAUAACUGAACCAGAAUUUGGAUUAUAGAAGUGCACUUCCUAGCUGUUUUUUAUUUAGGUAUAGGAACACACAAUGAGAACCUUAUGUUUGGAAUGUAGCAGUAACAACAGAGGGUAACUACACUGCAAGACUUAAAUGGUUUGAGCAUGUGACACUAUCCUUUUGUUGGGGGGAGCAGGGUAUAAAAAUACAUACAGGAGAUUAGUUUAAUAGUAAAGUUUUAUAUGUAUGUUUAACUUCCAUGAUAUUUAUUAUUUUGUAGAGACAUUUGUGAUUGUUUAGAGUUCUUGUUUUUAUUCUAUUUAUGUAUAAGGUUGACUUUUUUUAAAUAAAUAAGCCAAAAAUUCUUUUUGAA
RNAcentral lists this small RNA (4316 nucleotides) under Pongo abelii (Sumatran orangutan). RNAcentral's name for it is "retained intron". The record is from RNAcentral. Lineage: Eukaryota; Metazoa; Chordata; Mammalia; Primates; Hominidae.